Molecule: long non-coding RNA, 620 nt
Filed under: Mytilus galloprovincialis (Mediterranean mussel)
Lineage: Eukaryota; Metazoa; Mollusca; Bivalvia; Mytilida; Mytilidae
Source: RNAcentral
UUCAUUAUAGAUAGAGAUAAUUGUAAGCAGCAGAGAUGUUCAGUAAAGUAAGAUGUACAAACACAUCACCAUCACCAAAACACAAUUUUGUCAUGAAUCCAUCUGCUUCCUUUGUUUAAUAUUCACAUAGACAAAGGUGAGCGACACAGGCUCUUUAGAGCCUCUAGUUAAGAACAUGUCCAAGAAAAUGAUAGCAAUCCUAGGAUCUCAAUAUCUGGCAUCUUAAUACAUCUAAGAGAGAUAUUUUCUGGUCAAAUACUACUUUAUUACACUAUCUUAUAGAGGAUAAUUCCUCUAAAACAGUUGUUAGUUAUUAUUUUAGUCUGCUUUUGACUGUACUAUGUGCAUGAUGUGAAUACAGUGCUCAACAGUUUCCAAAAGUAGACCUCAUUAUCAAUAUGUGCCAUUCACCCUUCACUGAAAUGCAAAUGUUUGAAUAUAAUUGACACCUGUGGAUAGUUAUUUCAGGUUAAGAAUGGAUCUCUGGAGUUGGCAGUGAUAUUCUUUUAUCCAUUGUUGCUGGAACUAUGUGAUAACUCCCGAUUUAAAGAUGGUGCAAAAUUCUGAGCUGAAAUUAUCUGUAUUUAUUAAAUGCUUGUGCUACAGUUAUUUAAUAAAAU